UACGUAGGGGGCGAGCGUUGUCCGGAUUUACUGGGCGUAAAGCGCGUGUAGGCGGUUCUUUAAGUUUGGUGUGAAAUCUCCCGGCUCAACUGGGAGGGUGCGCCGAAUACUGAGGGACUAGAGUACGGGAGAGGAAAGUGGAAUUCCUGGUGUAGCGGUGAAAUGCGUAGAUAUCAGGAGGAACACCGGUGGUGUAGACGGCUUUCUGGACCGUAACUGGCGCUGAGACACGAAAGCGUGGGUAGCAAACAGG
This 253-nucleotide ribosomal RNA is filed under the name uncultured bacterium. RNAcentral's name for it is "partial 16S ribosomal RNA". It matches the Rfam family "Bacterial small subunit ribosomal RNA", at positions 524 to 776 of the family's 1533-position model. The record is from RNAcentral.